AACGAACGCUGGCGGCAGGCCUAACACAUGCAAGUCGAGCGAUCACUUCGGUGGUAGCGGCGGACGGGUGAGUAACGCGUGGGUAACCUGCCCCAUACACAGGGAUAGCCAUUGGAAACGAUGAUUAAUACCUGAUAACACAUAUUUACCGCAUGGUAGAAAUGUCAAAGAUUUAUCGGUAUGGGAUGGACCCGCGUCUGAUUAGUUAGUUGGUAAGGUAACGGCUUACCAAGACAGCGAUCAGUAGCCGACCUGAGAGGGUGAUCGGCCACACUGGAACUGAGACACGGUCCAGACUCCUACGGGAGGCAGCAGUGGGGAAUAUUGCACAAUGGGCGCAAGCCUGAUGCAGCAACGCCGCGUGAGCGAAGAAGGUCUUCGGAUCGUAAAGCUCUUUCUUAGGGAAGAAAAUGACGGUACCUAAGGAAUAAGCACCGGCUAAAUACGUGCCAGCAGCCGCGGUAA
This 465-nucleotide ribosomal RNA is filed under the name uncultured bacterium. Its description in RNAcentral is "bacterial SSU rRNA". It matches the Rfam family "Bacterial small subunit ribosomal RNA", at positions 29 to 523 of the family's 1533-position model. The record is from RNAcentral.